RNAcentral lists this ribosomal RNA (466 nucleotides) under uncultured bacterium. Its description in RNAcentral is "partial 16S ribosomal RNA". It matches the Rfam family "Bacterial small subunit ribosomal RNA", at positions 29 to 506 of the family's 1533-position model. The record is from RNAcentral.
ACGAACGCUGGCGGCGUGCUUAACCCAUGCAAGUCGAACGGAAAGGCCCUGCUUUUGUGGGGUGCUCGAGUGGCGAACGGGUGAGUAACACGUGAGUAACCUGCCCUUGACUUUGGGAUAACUUCAGGAAACUGGGGCUAAUACCGGAUAGGAGCUCCUGCUGCAUGGUGGGGGUUGGAAAGUUUCGGCGGUUGGGGAUGGACUCGCGGCUUAUCAGCUUGUUGGUGGGGUAGUGGCUUACCAAGGCUUUGACGGGUAGCCGGCCUGAGAGGGUGACCGGCCACAUUGGGACUGAGAUACGGCCCAGACUCCUACGGGAGGCAGCAGUGGGGAAUAUUGCACAAUGGGCGGAAGCCUGAUGCAGCAACGCCGCGUGCGGGAUGACGGCCUUCGGGUGGUAAACCGCUUUCGCCUGUGACGAAGCGUGAGUGACGGUAAUGGGUAAAGAAGCACCGGCUAACUACGU